Gasterosteus aculeatus aculeatus (three-spined stickleback) is the source of this 1103-nucleotide long non-coding RNA. The record is from Ensembl. NCBI's taxonomy places the organism in Eukaryota, Metazoa, Chordata, Actinopteri, Perciformes, Gasterosteidae.
ACAGGAAGCGCAUGGCAUAAAAUGUUUGUGGAGAGCUCGGAUGGCCCUCUCACUCGGCCCUGAGGAAAAGGACACUGUGGCCACGGCUCCUAAUCUCCCAGAGACGCAACUGAGGCGUGAACAUCCUGAUCCGUCCCCACACAGCUGAUCCACAUUCCACAAUUCACCCCUCCAGUAUUUAGACCCGGGCUGCGAUCGUUACACACCCCCACAUGAUCCCGCUGUCCCCGUUCCCACCUGCCGUGCCGGCUGCCUCGCGGCGCUCCGGCGUCCUCACCCGGCUGUCCCCUUCCCUUGGAAUCCGCACUCAUUAAUUCACUUCUACGGAUUAUCAUCGUCCUGUGUGAAUCUCUGGGUGCCGGGUCUGAUAUCCAGCCUUAACAUCACUGCCCCAUGGCGUUAAUUGCAAUCAAACCCCCUCAGAUGUAUCAUCUGACUCCUGGGAGCCAUUCGUGAUAUUUGUGUACAACACUGGGCCAAUCUCAGGUUUAUUGUUGUGUAUUACUGUGAGAGGGAGUCUACCUAAGGGGGCACGGGUGCAAUUGACACGGGGUAAUGAUGCAUGGGUGACGGGGAGAUCGCACCGUUUUUACCGCUACCAGGAUGCGCAGCGAGAUCACGGACUAAAUAUAGAUGCAGUUGUGUUUCAUAAAAUAAAAAACUAAUAAACGGGAACUUCACCCGAAGAAAACAAAAAUACUUGGAAUCUUUGUGUGAGCGAGUGAGGAACAGGAUCUUCACCCAGCCGAGUGGCUCAAGAAAAUCUGUCAGCACACAACUAAAAACCCGAUCUCACCUGGAGAAUCGAGAUCAUCUGGAAUACACACCUGGAAGACAGCCCUGCCGAUGCGAUCUGCAUGGACUUCCAAACGAGCGUGGGUCGACCAUCGCCACGUAGGAAGCAAGAAUCACGGACGCCGGGCGAAGCGGCCCCCGGUUGGUACUCCGGUAUGGAUUUACGUUGCCUGUUUGAAACGGCAUCGCACAUGCGACAUUAGACUGCUCUGAGGAUUAUGCUGUAUUGCAUUCAUGACAAUAUCGAUUCUGUGGACUUUCAACGAUUGUAUGUACAUCGAAGGAAAAUAUUGCGCUUCAUGUCACGU